RNAcentral lists this long non-coding RNA (3872 nucleotides) under Sus scrofa (pig). Its description in RNAcentral is "lncRNA (ENSSSCG00060002563.1)". The record is from RNAcentral. Lineage: Eukaryota; Metazoa; Chordata; Mammalia; Artiodactyla; Suidae.
CCUACUCCACACUGGGAGACAUGGAAAUAAAUGAAAACUCCUAUCCUUUGGGGGAAGUUAUGUUCCAGGGAACAGAAAACACUAAACAGAUGUUAUAACCCCUGUACCUGCACAAAUUAUUUGCAUUCUCACAGCAGCCGUUGUUAUUUCACUUGUAGGUUAAAUAGCUGUCUGGGGUCUCAGCCAGGAAAUAGUGGAGUUGAGAGUUAAACCCAGGACAGUGGCUCCAGGCCUGUGCACCUGACAGCUGCAUUCUCCUGCAUUUCCAAAUUUGUAUCUUCGUUCUGCCUCUCCUUCAAUUGCUUUGAAUAUUGCCACAUAGUGUCCUGGAGUCUUUUCAGACUCAUUGGUUAACCUAAAGUUGUCAUCUUCUCCCCCAAAUCAGCUGUCUGCUUUUAUCUAUCCCAGUAGCAUUGCCGUUCUCCCUGUAAACCAAGCUCAGCAUUGCGUUUCCGUCAUGGAGUCAUGACCUUCUCCAUUCCUGUAACAUCUCCAUUCUCAAGUCCUGUUGGCUUUGAAGACAAAUCUCUUAUCUUCAUCCCAGUGACCCAAAAAGGCAAGCCCAAUUUUUACUCCUUUUUUAUAGAUGAGGACAGUAAGGAUCCAAGAGGUCAAGUGCCUUGCUCAAGGCCACACAGCUAAAAGAAGUUAAAACUUAACCCCUAUCCUUUGAUCACAGACUUUGCACUAUGAACAAAUUGUUUCAGGUAGAAAUUUACAUCUCUGAAUCUGCCUCAGGAGCCCAGAGAAGGAAAGGACUACAGCUUAAGCCAUGUCUGGAUCUCUUACACAGAAUUGGGGACUUGUGUUGACUCAAAGAACUGGAACUAUGAAGUCCAAAUUGUCAGGACACAACUCCGAUGUGGUGUCCUAAAAAUUACUGCUCUGACAUUCCACCAGAUGGCAGUAUUUUCCCCGUGAAAGAGGACAUGAGGCCAUGUCACAGAGAGGCUUGGUUGAAGUGACCAAAGAAUUUGAAUUUGAAGUGGUUUCCAACCACACACACACACACACACACACACACACACACACACACACACACACACCACACACACACUGUUUAAAAUCUUGCUGAACUUAAAAUGCUGAUGAAAUCUUGAGGACUAUGCGGUGGAGCAUAAAUGUAAUUCGACCUCUAGUCAGACCUUUGGCAUUUCCUAGCUAGAAGACCCUGUGGAAAUCUCUUAAUGUCUCAGCUUUUAUUUUCCUAUCUGCAAAGUGGGUAUAAGAAUAUCCGCUUAGUCCCCCUCACAGACAGGGCUAUCGUGAAACUGAAAUUGGCUAUGUGUGAAACUAUAGAUGACUUUGUAGAUAUACACUCUUACAAUGUUGGAUGCUAUGAAAUUAAUUUAACUGUUUGUUCAGUAAUUAGUUUUGUAGAAACGCUUUCCCUAAAGCCUUGCUACUCUUAAGUGUGGUCUGCAGACCAGCAGAUCUGUAUCACCUGAGAGUUUGUUAGAAUUACAGAAUAUAACUCAUCUUGGACUACUGCAUUUUAAUGCUGUGUAUUUUAACAAGAUCCUGAGGUGGUUCAUAUGCAUCAUAAAGUUUUGAUACUGGCUAGAAAAUUCUUAGGUUUAGUGAAUAAAGAAAAUAGCAAGAAAAACAAGUUCUGGAGUUCGUUUGGGAGUUAACACUGAGUUCGUUCAGUUCAGUGUUGCCCAUAAUACGAGACGUGUUCACCAUGAUGAGCCUGAGGCACCUUAAGCAAAUUGUUUCCAAAGCUCAAAAAAGGUCUCUGUGUCCCAAGUUAUGACUUAGGGAGAGUGAAUGGAGGUUGAAAACAUUCUGGAGUUGAAAUCAGUCAGGUCAGACUAGGCUAUGCUGUGAUGACAAACAACCUGACAUUUUGGUGGCUUUAAAACCUGAUAGGUAUGUUGGCAUGACAUGAAGCAGGGGGCUCUGCUCAGGCACUCAGGACCCAGGCAGGUGGAGCUGCCGCCAUCCCAAACAGUGCAUGAAAAGAGCUCCAGAGAGUGAAGUGCACUGGUGGGAAGAUGUUCCACCUGGAAAUGAUACAUGGGGUGGGGGUGGGGAGCAGGAAGCGCAAUCCUCUCCUGUGUUUGGAAGGUCAACAACUAGAAAUAUUCAGUGAACAGCACUGAUAACCACCACAAAGGUUAUCUCUGAGCUGUUCAGAGCAGCAGCUCCCAGGACAGGAGAACUGACCAGGGACAGCUCAUUAAAUGUACAGAUCCCAGAGCCCCACACCAGGGAUCCAGCUAGAACCAGGAAUCUGUUUUACCGAGAGCCCCAGGUGAUUCGGAUGCACUCUUUCCACAGACCAGCAUCUGGAAACCACUGAGUUUGAGCCCUCCUACCCCUCAACCCCAUCUUGAACGUAAAAGUCACUGCGUCCAUUUCUCAGGGUUGCUGUAGCAAGUUACCCCAAACUUGGUGGCUUCAAAGAACAGAAAUGCAUUCUCUCCCAGUUCUAGAAGCCAGGAGGUCUAAAAUUAAGCUCUUUCCAGAGGCUCUGAGACAGACUCUGUUCUCUGCCUCUCUCCUGGCCAGUGGUGGCUGCUGGCCAUCCUUGGUCUUUCUUGGCUUAUAACUGUAUAAUCCAAUUUCUGCCUCCAUCCUCACAUGGCCAUCUCUGUGUUUCUGUGUCUUCUGUCAUAAGGACACUUGUCAGGAGUUCCCAUCAUGGCAUAGCGGAAAUGAAUCUGACUAGGAGCCACGGGGUUGUGGGUUUGAUCCCUGGCCUCGCUCACUGGGUUAGGGAUCUGGCGUUGCCAUGAGCUGUGGUCACCCAACCCAGGUAAUCCAAGAUGAUCUCAUCUUAAAAUGUCUAAUCUAUCUGAAAAGACCCUUUUUUCCAAGCAGGGUCACCUUGGGGGAACAUAUCUUUUGGGGGUCCGCUGUUCAAUCCAUUACAGACCCAAGUUCGCGCUGAGCCCAGUCUUCUGCCUGUCCUCUCUGGACCGUCAAGAUAGGCUUUGAGAGCCACAUACCACAAGGGGUCAGGCAAACCUUAUUUUUCUGCGGCUGUUUCCUUUCAAUGUUUGGAAAUACCCUCCACUGUGAGGGUCAACCAGGACAAGCUUUGGGCUGGGAUCUGGGACCCAGCAGCCGAUUUUCUCCUCUCUGCCCCAUGCAAAAUAGAGGGGUUGCAUGCCAGGAAUGCGCAUGGGAUGAGCAGCCCUCUGUUUGCACACCUCACUCUGCCAAAGCCCUGGAGAAGGUUCCCUAAUGUUUUAGUAGCCUCGGACCAUUCUGGGACCCGGAUGUUGACUCCUCAGCUUGAGGGCUCUGCUCUUGAAAACUUCCAAGGUUGGAGAAUUCCAGGUGGGGGGGCCAUAAGAGAUUAUGAGGAAAAUAGGUGUGGGCCUCAGGUCAUCAGAGGAACGCUCAUUUUUAUACUCUCUAAAAGAUGAUAGUAAUGACAGAACAUUAAAUAGAACACUUCAAUGUCAUUUGACACAUCUCGAAUUAGUAGUAAUGGCUGCUCAACAAUUAUUUUCCAUUUAAGUAAUUCCUUUGCUCUCCCCCUAAGCACUGAGCACAUUCAGGAGGCAUGAGACAGGCAUCUCGCUGCGUUUUCGAGAGCAUCAUUCCCUUCCUCGUGUGACUUUCUCUUUUAGGACCAACGUUUUUGGAAUGGGGUGGCAGUGAGCCCCGACAUCACUCUCCUGAGUCACAGUCUGGAGAGACUUGUGCUUUCUCACCUGGGUGAUUGCUGAAAAGGCCUGUGGAGGUAUGUCGGGGCACUAGACUUUGUCCCAAGCAGAGUCACAGCAAAAGGAUAGGAUUAAUAGGAACUUGGAAGGUUUGACCAUGGUUGUUCUGUCAGAUGGGCCCCAGGACCUCAAGCUGUCAGCUCUGUGGUCACCUCCUUAGAGCCCAGCCACCCACUGUCCACCCUUCUUUUU